UACAGAGGGUGCAAGCGUUGUUCGGAAUUAUUGGGCGUAAAGGGAGUGUAGGCGGCUUGUUAAGUCUUCUGUGAAAUCUACGGGCUUAGCCUGUAAAGUGCAGAGGAAACUGGCGAGCUUGAGUGUCGGAGAGGAUAGGGGAAUACCCGGUGUAGAGGUGAAAUUCGUAGAGAUCGGGUGGAACACCAGUGGCGAAGGCGCCUGUCUGGCUGACAACUGACGCUGAGACUCGAAAGCAUGGGGAGCAAACAGG
RNAcentral lists this ribosomal RNA (253 nucleotides) under uncultured bacterium. Its description in RNAcentral is "partial 16S ribosomal RNA". It matches the Rfam family "Bacterial small subunit ribosomal RNA", at positions 524 to 776 of the family's 1533-position model. The record is from RNAcentral.